This 306-nucleotide ribosomal RNA is filed under the name uncultured bacterium. RNAcentral's name for it is "partial 16S ribosomal RNA". It matches the Rfam family "Bacterial small subunit ribosomal RNA", at positions 507 to 807 of the family's 1533-position model. The record is from RNAcentral.
GACAGCAGCAGCCGCGGUAAUACGGAGGGUGCAAGCGUUAUCCGGAUUUAUUGGGUUUAAAGGGUCCGUAGGCGGACUUAUAAGUCAGUGGUGAAAGCCUGUCGCUUAACGAUAGAACUGCCAUUGAUACUGUAAGUCUUGAGUAUAUUUGAGGUAGCUGGAAUAAGUAGUGUAGCGGUGAAAUGCAUAGAUAUUACUUAGAACACCAAUUGCGAAGGCAGGUUACCAAGAUAUAACUGACGCUGAGGGACGAAAGCGUGGGUAGCGAACAGGAUUAGAUACCCCCGUAGUCCCUGUCUCUUAUAC